RNAcentral lists this ribosomal RNA (305 nucleotides) under uncultured bacterium. RNAcentral's name for it is "bacterial SSU rRNA". It matches the Rfam family "Bacterial small subunit ribosomal RNA", at positions 333 to 655 of the family's 1533-position model. The record is from RNAcentral.
UUUGUCCUACGGGACGCAGCAGUGGGGUAUAUUGCACAAUGGGGGAAACCCUGAUGCAGCGACGCCGCGUGAGCGAUGAAGUAUUUCGGUAUGUAAAGCUCUAUCAGCAGGGAAGAAAAUGACGGUACCUGACUAAGAAGCCCCGGCUAACUACGUGCCAGCAGCCGCGGUAAUACGUAGGGGGCAAGCGUUAUCCGGAUUUACUGGGUGUAAAGGGAGCGUAGACGGCAGUGCAAGUCUGAAGUGAAAGGCAAGGGCUCAACCUUUGGACUGCUUUGGAAACUGUGCUGCUAGAGUGUCGGAGG